UAAUGUUAUUGCAAUUAAAUCACAAUGUGAAGCGCCAGUUAUAUCACAUAACUCGCACGAAAACGAGCUAGUUUUCAUUAAUUAAGUAGUUUCUCCAUUACAAUCUUUUGCUCUAGUUCACGGCGUUUAUACCCCGUAGUACAGACCGGUAAUAAGUUUUGUUUGCUCAUGUCUACGGCAAAAAGUAGUGACAAUUUUUCUUUGCCAAGGAACCUCCUUCCAAAGCUAGGCAUGCCAGGUCUUGGACAAGGAAAAUUUGUUCGUGUGUACGGCCCCCAAGGAAAACGUGACAAGUGUACAAAAAAUACUUCUGUGGUUUUGGCAAACAAAAGACGGCCUUGACGUGAGAUAAAUGUUGAACAACAUUCCGUGCACACGAGCAACAAGGGAAACUAUCUUUUCUUUGCCCAAGUUCGCCCAGACGCAUUAUCCAUCUCUAGUAUAAAUCUACACUUAAUCUAUUGAUUGUCACUAUACAUGCAAAAAUCUCACAUCUUGUAGCAAGUCUGAAAUGUGUUUUCAAGGUUGAUGUUUUCAGGCUCGGUGUUUUCAGUGUCGGUUGUUUUCAGGCUCGGUUGUUUUCAGUGUCGGUUGUUUUCAGUGUCGGUUGUUUUCAGUGUCGGUUGUUUUCAGUGUCGGUUGUUUUCAGUGUCGGUUGUUUUCAGUGUCGGUUGUUUUCAGGGUCGGGGUUUUCAGGCUCGGUGUUUUCAGGGUCGGUGUUUUCAGGCUCGGUGUUUUCAGGGUCGGUUGUUUUCAGGCUUGGUGUUUUCAAGGUCGAUCGUUUUAGACCCGGUGUUUCAAGGUCGGUUGUUUUCAGGCUGGGGGUUUUCAGGGUCGGUGUUUUCAGGGUCGGUUGUGAAAGUCUGGGGGUCAUUUUCAGACUCGUGGUUUUCACAGGGUCGGUUGUUUUCAAGGUCGGUUGUUUUCAGGCUCGGUGUUUUCAGGAUCGAUGUUUUUAGUCUUGAUGUUUUCAG
Paramuricea clavata is the source of this 974-nucleotide non-coding RNA. Lineage: Eukaryota; Metazoa; Cnidaria; Anthozoa; Malacalcyonacea; Plexauridae. The record is from the annotation of a GenBank genome assembly.